RNAcentral lists this ribosomal RNA (298 nucleotides) under uncultured bacterium. RNAcentral describes it as "partial 16S ribosomal RNA". It matches the Rfam family "Bacterial small subunit ribosomal RNA", at positions 332 to 648 of the family's 1533-position model. The record is from RNAcentral.
UUGAGCCUACGGGGCGCAGCAGUGGGGGAUAUUGCACAAUGGGGGAAACCCUGAUGCAGCGACGCCGCGUGUGGGAAGGCGGUCUUCUGGAUUGUAAACCACUGUCCCUAGGGACGAAAAUGACGGUACCUGGGGAGGAAGCUCCGGCUAACUACGUGCCAGCAGCCGCGGUAAUACGUAGGGAGCAAGCGUUGUCCGGAAUUACUGGGUGUAAAGGGAGCGUAGGCGGGGAUGCAAGUUGGGUGUCAAAACUACCGGCUCAACCGAUAGACGCACUCAAAACUGCAGCUCUUGAGUG